Long non-coding RNA from Oncorhynchus tshawytscha (Chinook salmon), 2629 nucleotides. The record is from Ensembl. NCBI's taxonomy places the organism in Eukaryota, Metazoa, Chordata, Actinopteri, Salmoniformes, Salmonidae.
ACUCUUUAGUUUCUGGGUCACUGGGUAGAGAGAAGACUGCAGUCAGACACUGGGAUCUGUUGUGGUAGUGUGUGAUGUGAGGUGCUGGUGAUGGUGCAGGCUAACUUGGAUGUGGAGCUACAAGGAGUAUUGGUUAAGCUGUGUGUUUUAUGAGUCCCAUAGGGAGUUGAUUAGGUGAACUGAACUGCAGAUGUUUACCUAGGUACUGUCUGUCUGUGUAACAGUGUAACUGUUCUCCAGUCUUGUGAUGCCUGUGGCCAUGAAGACCGCCGGGAGAUCCAGGUCUGAUUCAGCCAACAAGGAAGGACAAGGCCGAGUUUGUACCCGGACUCAUCAUCAACAAUGGGCAUCAAGGGGCCCGAGGAGCCAAUCAGCAUGUUGUAGCUCUCCCUGGGGCUGGGCUGGGCUGGGUGUUGGAGCGAUAGGACAGAGGCCAACGCAGUCCAAGGAGAGCGUGUUGAACUACCAGGAAGCCCUGAGACAACAGAGGAACAGGAAACCAAUGACUCAGAUUAGUGACAGACUGCAAUAUUUUGACGGGAAGAGAUCAGGCGAGAGCGAAGUCAGCACUUUUCCAAGAUCCAGGAAAGAAAGGAGCGAUAAAGACAGGAGAGGAGGAAGAGGGAUUGCUACGAUGCCAAGAUCGAGGCAGAAAUGAAGGUGAUCUGAACAGAAUGCACAGGACCAAGGAGGAGGAGUACGUGAACCCAGAGUCCAGGGACAGGUGACAGCCACAGGGCUCUGUAGGCAGGAGUGGAGGACCUAACCCCAGGCAGGAGGACUGGGUACCCUCUACCCAGCGAGUAACAGCUGUCCCAGUUUGCCGGAGGCAACGUGUUCAGUGAUCAGGACACUCCACAGCAGCUCCAGGAGCAGGACACGUUCAAGCAGAGAGCCAGAAGGAUCCUUCCCCUCCUAACCCAGACAUGCAGAAGAGACUGGGCAAGCAGCUCCUUACUCCCAGACCUCUCUCUGCUGUCAGCCAGCUCUCCUCUAGGCCCAGGCACUUGACUGUGUCGAACAUCCACAGGCCCAGGCGCUAUAGCUUUAUUCUGACUCCGCUUUCAUCCCUGGAACUAUACACUCACUGUCGGUGUACGGUUGUGAACUUAACAUGCAUAUUUUAUAGUGGUGACUGUGGCGUGUUUUGAGGUGUUGGAUCAUGUUCCAUACUGUUGUGCUGUGCCCAGGUGUAGAGGGCACCCCAAUGGGGACAUGUUUGAGAUGGCACACCACCCAACUCUGGAGUAGCUGCUGUGGCUGUUCACGUCAACAUGCAGAACACCAGGGAGUUCAACCAGCUCAAAUACAGAGUGUUACGUCCUCAGACGUAUGCAGGGUCCCCGUCCCAAGGGCCAGGGCAGCCCAGGUUGACCUGAGGUCCAGACAGCCCUCAGCCCGGGAGAGGAGAAGGCCUGCCAGAAGGAGAGACUUUGAGGAUGAGAAGGGCCUGUUGCUUCAAUGUUUCCAUUCUGUGGCCCAGAACAUGGUGACUGCUGGUUGUCAGAGGGAUGACAAGGGCCAACCGGAUGCCUAGUCUCUGUUCUCUGUGACAAGCCUGCACGUGGAGGGGACCGCACGUACAGGCUUGUGAUAGAAUGACAAGGUUGGAUGGGGGCUGUCAGCCGAUGAAGGGGAUGACCUCUCACUGCGGUCCACCCCGUACUACCCGGUCAGGCGUGUGUCCAUGGAGACUGUUGGCACAGAGCGCUGGCUACGGCCCAGCACGUCAGACACGCUGAAAUUGUUUGGGGCUGGUCAGAACCGGACAGAAACCCGUUACCCACAUCCUGGAUGGGAAGUGGGAUGGGCCCUCCACCUAACAUGGAUGACCCCUUUCAUCUACACAUAGGAUCCCAUUCCCUUCACAGCUUAUUACUUUUGACUAGAGUUUGAGGUCUAUAUUUUAUAUGCAGUCGAUCCCCAAUACAAAUGACAAAAUUAACAUGGUCUAUUUCUGUGUCUGCAUCAGGAGAGCAAAAAACAUCCAUAUUUGUGUUUUUAUGCAGAAAAACACCUGAAUGUUGCUUAUGCAUGUGCGAAUUGUUUAAUCAGAAACCAGGGCAAACGUCAAAUGGAGAUGAGGUAGUAGCAGAGAUAUUUCAGUCUCUGUGUACAACAGCUCCACGUAGUGAGUAGGAUCAGGGCAGCGUCAGAGAGCGGGGAAAAUCUAAAUUGUAGACUUCUUGCGUCCUCUCUCUUUGCCUCCUUCAAAAGAGAAUGUUUGAGGGGCGGGACAUCUGGCUUUCUCAUCCAAUGGGUUUUGAGAAGGAGACAGGAUGUGAGGAGUGUGCAAUUGAGACGGUCCAAGUCUGCUUGGAUAAGUGUGCAGCUAGUACACAGUGAAGAAUUACUGUCCCUGAGCUGCAUCACUCUCACUGCUGUGUGAUAUGGCUACAGCUGCAGGACUACGGUAUGGAAGAAGUAUAGGCUCUGGUCUGCUGAUGGAAGUAACUAUGGUAACCUUUUGACUGGUUUGGUCUGCUGGUGUAAGCAACUAUGGUAACCUUUUGAAUGUACUUUUGCAGAAUUAAUAUGUAUUUAAAACAUGCGAAAUGUGUAUCUGGUGUUGAAAUGUUUGUAUGUAGCAAGAAAAUGUGUGUUAAUAUACAGUAUAGAAAGAUUUGGG